GAUGAACGCUGGCGGCGUGCCUAAUACAUGCAAGUCGAGCGAACGGACGAGAAGCUUGCUUUUCUGAUGUUAGCGGCGGACGGGUGAGUAACACGUGGAUAACCUACCUAUAAGACUGGGAUAACUUCGGGAACCCGGAGCUAAUACAGGAUAAUAUUUUGAACCGCAUGGUUCAUAAGAGAAAGCGGGUCUUGCUGACACUAAUAGAGGGAUCCGCGCUGCAUUAGCUAGUUGGUAAGGUAACGGCUUACCAAGGCAACGAUGCAUAGCCGACCUGAGAGGGUGAUCAGCCACACUGGAACUGAGACACGGUCCAGACUCCUACGGGAGGCAGCAGUAGGGAAUCUUCCGCAAUGGGCGAAAGCCUGACGGAGCAACGCCGCGUGAGUGAUGAAGGUCUUCGGAUCGUAAAGCUCUGUUAUUAGGGAAGAACAUAUGUGUAAGUAACUGUGCACAUCUUGACGGUACCUAAUCAGAAAGCCACGGCUAACUACGUG
RNAcentral lists this ribosomal RNA (497 nucleotides) under uncultured bacterium. RNAcentral's name for it is "partial 16S ribosomal RNA". It matches the Rfam family "Bacterial small subunit ribosomal RNA", at positions 28 to 507 of the family's 1533-position model. The record is from RNAcentral.